GGGGAUUUAGCUCAGUGGUAGAGCACUUGCCUAGCAAGCGCAAGGCCCUGGGUUCGGUCCCCAGUUCCG
Rattus norvegicus (Norway rat) is the source of this 69-nucleotide non-coding RNA. The record is from Rfam. Lineage: Eukaryota; Metazoa; Chordata; Mammalia; Rodentia; Muridae.